GGCCACAUCCCUUCCUGAUUCCACCUAGGGCACCAUCUGUAAUUCUCCCCGCCAAGUCACGAAAGGUCUGGAAGAGAUCGAAGAGACCAUCUUUUUCCACCCUUUCAAUUUGUAGAUGAAGAAACUGAAUCCCAGAGAGAAGAGACUGGUCCAAGGUCACAUCGUACAUAGCAGAGUUGUGCCUCAAACCUACUUUCUCUAAAUCUGAGCCAGAGAGUGAUUCCAUUCUAGACGCUGACCAUUCUACACUUCUCCUGGUGGGCAAAAAUGUGACUGAAGUCAUCAGCGGGGGAGGAGCCACCUCUGCUUGAUAAUUGAGCCGCCAUCAGAAGGGCCACCGUUUGGCAGGCAGUUAAGUAUUUGAAGAAAGAAGGACCUUUGGCAGUGAAAGACUCACAGACAAGUAACAAUUUGUUAUGGACCAGCUGCUGGAAAACAGUGGACUUGGUGAUCUCCAAGCUCCCCCCUUCACACCCCGACUUAAAGCUCUAACAUUUCAUGGAAGCUCUCUUCUGGUUUGAGUAGAAUCAAAAUAGCACUGCCUAAAUUUCAUUGUGCCAUUUCCUCCAGGUCAUGUGUGACAACUACACAAAGAGACCCAUUAUAGUGGCAUUCAUUAACUGGUACUUAAGUAAUAUUAAAUUACAAUGGCGUCCACCCAGAGCAGGCCACAGAAUUUUGAAUUAUGAUCAAUGCAACUACAGUGAAAAUGUGUCUCUCGGACAGCCUGUCUUUCAUCAAGCCCAGAAUGAAAACCAUCAGAGCACAGUGUUGGUGAUUCCAGAGUUAUAUCUCAGAAGAAGAACCCAAUAUAGGUGA
This 819-nucleotide long non-coding RNA is filed under the name Monodelphis domestica (gray short-tailed opossum). Its description in RNAcentral is "lncRNA (ENSMODG00000045901.1)". Lineage: Eukaryota; Metazoa; Chordata; Mammalia; Didelphimorphia; Didelphidae. The record is from RNAcentral.